This 467-nucleotide ribosomal RNA is filed under the name uncultured bacterium. Its description in RNAcentral is "partial 16S ribosomal RNA". It matches the Rfam family "Bacterial small subunit ribosomal RNA", at positions 28 to 506 of the family's 1533-position model. The record is from RNAcentral.
GACGAACGCUGGCGGCGUGCUUAACACAUGCAAGUCGUACGGAAAGGCCCUGCUUUUGUGGGGUGCUCGAGUGGCGAACGGGUGAGUAACACGUGAGUAACCUGCCCUUGACUUUGGGAUAACUUCAGGAAACUGGGGCUAAUACCGGAUAGGAGCUCCUGCUGCAUGGUGGGGGUUGGAAAGUUUCGGCGGUUGGGGAUGGACUCGCGGCUUAUCAGCUUGUUGGUGGGGUAGUGGCUUACCAAGGCUUUGACGGGUAGCCGGCCUGAGAGGGUGACCGGCCACAUUGGGACUGAGAUACGGCCCAGACUCCUACGGGAGGCAACAGUGGGGAAUAUUGCACAAUGGGCGGAAGCCUGAUGCAGCAACGCCGCGUGCGGGAUGACGGCCUUCGGGUUGUAAACCGCUUUCGCCUGUGACGAAGCGUGAGUGACGGUAAUGGGUAAAGAAGCACCGGCUAACUACGU